RNAcentral lists this ribosomal RNA (405 nucleotides) under uncultured Eubacteriales bacterium. RNAcentral's name for it is "uncultured Clostridiales bacterium partial 16S ribosomal RNA". It matches the Rfam family "Bacterial small subunit ribosomal RNA", at positions 355 to 774 of the family's 1533-position model. Lineage: Bacteria; Bacillati; Bacillota; Clostridia; Eubacteriales. The record is from RNAcentral.
UGGGGAAUAUUGGGCAAUGGGCGAAAGCCUGACCCAGCGACGCCGCGUGGGGGAAGAAGGUCUUCGGAUUGUAAACCCCUGUCCCAUGGGAAGAAAAAAAUGACGGUACCAUGGGAGGAAGCCCCGGCUAACUACGUGCCAGCAGCCGCGGUAAUACGUAGGGGGCGAGCGUUGUCCGGAAUGACUGGGCGUAAAGGGCGCGUAGGCGGGCUGGUAAGUCCGAUGUGAAACCCCUGUGCUUAACACAGGGCAUGCAUCGGAAACUGUCGGUCUGGAGUGCAGGAGAGGAAAGUGGAAUUCCUAGUGUAGCGGUGAAAUGCGUAGAUAUUAGGAGGAACAUCAGUGGCGAAGGCGGCUUUCUGGACUGUAACUGACGCUGAGGCGCGAGAGCGUGGGGAGCGAACA